Molecule: ribosomal RNA, 464 nt
Filed under: Parabatinga brevipes
Lineage: Eukaryota; Metazoa; Arthropoda; Arachnida; Araneae; Ctenidae
Description: partial large subunit ribosomal RNA
Source: RNAcentral
UCGCCUGUUUUUCAAAAACAUCUCUGUUAGUAUUAAUUAACAGUAAGAUCUGCUCAAUGAAGAUUAAAUAGCCGCAUUUCGUGCUAAGGUAGUAUAAUAAUUUGUCUUUUAAUUAAAGUCUAUAACAAAAGAUUUAACAUUUUAAUUAUUUUAAAAAUAUUAAAUAUUUAAAUUAUUUUAAUUAUUAAAAAAUAAUUUUUUAAAAAAAAGACGACAAGACCCUAUUGAACUUAACUUUAGUUAAACUGGGGCAGUUGAUUAAAUAUAAUCUUAAUAUUAAUUAAUAUUAAUAUGACCUAAUAUAAUUAAUUAUAAAAUCAAGUUACCAUAGGGAUAACAGCGUAAUAAUUUUUUAAAGUUCAUAUUUUUAAAAUAGACUGCGACCUCGAUGUUGAAUUAAUUUUCCAAUUUACGCAAUAGUUAUUAUGGAUAAGUCUGUUCGACUUUUAAACAAUUACAUGAUC